ACUACGGGUGGCAGCAGUGAGGAAUAUUGGUCAAUGGGCGGAAGCCUGAACCAGCCAAGUAGCGUGCAGGAUGACGGCCCUACGGGUUGUAAACUGCUUUUAUACGGGAAUAACGCGCCUUACGUGUAGGGCUUUGCAUGUACCGUAUGAAUAAGGACCGGCUAAUUCCGUGCCAGCAGCCGCGGUAAUACGGAAGGUCCGGGCGUUAUCCGGAUUUAUUGGGUUUAAAGGGUGCGUAGGCCGCAUGUCAAGCGUGCUGUGAAAUGUCCAGGCCCAACCCGUGCCUGGCCGCGCAAACUGGCGUGCUUGAGUCGGCGGAAAGCAGGCGGAAUGCGUGGUGUAGCGGUGAAAUGCUUAGAUAUGACGCAGAACCCCGAUUGCGAAGGCAGCUUGCUGCAGCGGAACUGACGCUGAUGCUCGAAAGCGCGGGUAUCGAACAGGAUUAGAUACCCUUGUAGUC
RNAcentral lists this ribosomal RNA (460 nucleotides) under uncultured bacterium. RNAcentral's name for it is "partial 16S ribosomal RNA". It matches the Rfam family "Bacterial small subunit ribosomal RNA", at positions 338 to 795 of the family's 1533-position model. The record is from RNAcentral.